Molecule: non-coding RNA, 99 nt
Filed under: chicken gut metagenome
Source: RNAcentral
UUAGCUAGGGGUGCCCUCAAUUUUUUUGAGUGCUGAGAGGAAUUUUUUCCAACCCUUUGAACUUGAAGUGGUUAGUACCAACGUAGGGAAGCAUUUUUU